UAUUGGAGCUUGGGUUGGAGAACUGCCUGACUGCUUCAAGGCCAUCAAUCUUGGCGAGUAUGCAGCUUCUGAUGAUGCUCGGGAUUCCCGUACUGUUAGCCAAGAAACUGAGAACUUACCGGUGUCAACUCCCACUGAGACGACUUCUCAUCUGGAACAAAAGGAUAAUACCCGGGAAAGUCUGCUGAAUAUUGCUAGUUUUCAGGUGGUGAUGUCAGAAGGUAAACUAGUGGGUUUUCAGCCAACCAGCCGCUUAGCUGUGAGCCAUUGGGCAAAUAACCCGCUAGCAGCACUGCUGUAUGAGGGGCGGAAGCUUUCUCCAGCCUUUCUGGAGCCUAGGCUUAAAAUAUUCCGUCCUGCUAAGGUUGUCCCAAUUGAAUUACUGAUGUCGGUAAAUUCAGAAACUUUUUUUGCUUUGGCGAGGCCUGUUCAAGACCGGUGCUAACGGAGGUUAUAUUGCUGACAUACCGAUAUCCUGGCAGUCGCAUCGUCAUAUCCGGAGCCUGCUGAUGCAAAACUCACACCCCUUCUGAGUUGCCUUGGCCUCAACCUUGGCUCACGGAAACCUGGAAUGGUCAUCCCUAUACCUAGCUUCUCCGCUGCACAGCCACAAAGCUGCACCGUAAAUAUAUCAUACCGAACAACAGUGAACAUCACUAACCUUCUGACCAAAAACACCACCCAUUUAGCUGCACAGAGUCUCCACCAUCAUUUGCUUGCAACUCAAACCUUGUGCAUGCCUGAUUUUACCCGUGCAGUGAAGAUGCAAGGAAAAGCAGAGUGUGUGUCUGUACCGAGUAUGUCGGUGAUGAGCCGGCCAUUGCUGAACCGACCAGUGGGCCUUCCGCCGAGGAAGCUGGCGCCGUACGGCAGGAAGUUGGCCCUCAUCACCGUCUGCAGCCGGUUGUUGUUCCCGGGGUCCACCGUCGAGUCCCCGAACACCAGCAUGGUCGUCCAGCCGGUGGCACUGUAGUUGAGUGCCCUUCCAGGAGCCGGCGUUGGUGGCAGCGGCAGCGGCACCGCGGCCCACCCCGGUUC
Molecule: long non-coding RNA, 1038 nt
Organism: Lolium rigidum
Lineage: Eukaryota; Viridiplantae; Streptophyta; Magnoliopsida; Poales; Poaceae
Exons: 4
Source: RefSeq, a predicted model, not a curated record